GAUGAACGCUGGCGGCGUGCCUAAUACAUGCAAGUCGAGCGAACGGACGAGAAGUUUGCUUCUCUGAUGUUAGCGGCGGACGGGAGAGUAACACAUGGAUAACCUACCUAUAAGACUGGGAUAACUUCGGGAAACCGGCGAUAAUACCGGAUAAUAUUUUGAACCGCAUGGUUCAAAAGUGAAAGACGGUCUUGCCGUCACUUAUAGAUGGAUCCGCGCUGCAUUAGCUAGUUGGUAAGGUAACGGCUUACCAAGGCAACGAUGCAUAGCCGACCUGAGAGGUGGAUCGGCCACACUGGAACGGAGACACGGUCCAGACUCCUACGGGAGGCAGCAGUAGGGAAUCUUCCGCAAUGGGCGAAAGCCUGCCGGAGCAACGCCGCGUGAGUGAUGAAGGUCUUCGGAUCGUAAGACUCUGUGAUUAGGGAAGAACAGAUGUGUAAGGAACUGUGCACAUCUUGACGGUACCUAAUCAGAAAGCCACGGCUAACUACGUG
RNAcentral lists this ribosomal RNA (497 nucleotides) under uncultured bacterium. Its description in RNAcentral is "partial 16S ribosomal RNA". It matches the Rfam family "Bacterial small subunit ribosomal RNA", at positions 28 to 507 of the family's 1533-position model. The record is from RNAcentral.